CCUACGGGUGGCAGCAGUGAGGAAUAUUGGUCAAUGGGCGCAAGCCUGAACCAGCCAAGUAGCGUGCGGGAUGAAGGCCCUACGGGUUGUAAACUUCUUUUACACGGGGAUAACGCCCUCCACUUGUACAGCUCUGCAUGUACCGUAUGAAUAAGGGCCGGCUAAAUCCGUGCCAGCAGCCGCGGUAAUACGGAAGCCCCGAGCGUUAUCCGGAUUCAUUGGGGUUAAAGGGAGCGUAAGCGGGGCGUCAAGUCAGCUUUGAAAUUUUGCGGCUCAACCCGACCACUGCAGUUGAAACUGGAAGACUUGAGUACAGUACAGGCAGGCGGAAUUCGUGGUGUAGCGGUGAAAUGCAUAGAUAUCACGAGGAACCCCGAUUGCGAAGGCAGCCUGCCGGGGUGCAACUGACGCUGAGGCUCGAAGGUGCGGGUAUCAAACAGGAUUAGAUACCCCGGUAGUC
This 460-nucleotide ribosomal RNA is filed under the name uncultured bacterium. Its description in RNAcentral is "partial 16S ribosomal RNA". It matches the Rfam family "Bacterial small subunit ribosomal RNA", at positions 338 to 795 of the family's 1533-position model. The record is from RNAcentral.